AGAUCUUCUACCUACAUUAAGCAAGACAGUCAUGCAGCUGUAGAAAAUGCAGCAGAGGGGAAGGCCACAGGAUCAGUGGGCAGCCUGGCAUCAUGAUUAAGUGGAGAUACCAUCACAGGGAACACCUGAGACUUAGAGCUACACACAACAGGCUGUGCGGUGAUGUGCUGGGCAACAGAACAUCGAUUUCGACGUCAAAAGACCUUCAUAGUGCUUCCGAAUUCUGACUUACCUUAGGCAAGUGCCUGAACCAAUGGGUUCCUCAGUUUCUCCUUUCUGUUGGAAUUGGGUAAUGUUGAUAUUCACCAACCUGCUCUGCAGCAUAAAAGUCUAAUGGCAAUGUCUUUCCUUUUGUGAAGCACCAACCACUGAAGUUCAUUUUGGAAUCAUGGCCACCCAGAAGAGGAAAGGGGUGAUCAUGUGUCUCAAAGAAGAGAUAACUUUGAGGGAGAGGAUGAAAACUGCAAAGACCCUUGGGAUUAAAUGAAAUCUGCUGAUUCUACUCUUUUUUCAUGAAUUUCUGUAUGAUAUUUAGCAAUUAGAAUGUUUGACUGGCAAUGGCCAGGUAGAUUUCACCAUUAUGUAACAAAGAGAAUAAAAAAG
This 603-nucleotide long non-coding RNA is filed under the name Homo sapiens (human). Its description in RNAcentral is "HSALNT0185892". The record is from RNAcentral. Lineage: Eukaryota; Metazoa; Chordata; Mammalia; Primates; Hominidae.